AAUCAUCGAUCAUCGAUGUCGAUAUUCCAGGCGGACUGGUCGUCACCAGUGAGGCUCUUCCACCACCGUGGGUCGUCGUCUGCCCUAAUGUGAGCUUGACCUUGCCUUGCUGCUCCAAUUGGUUCUCUGGUGGUCAUGGAGCAGCUCCAUCAGAUCAUUGGUGAGGGUACUUGGAUUGAAAAUCCACUUGCAGGUGAAAUGUGAAGGUUUUAGAGCUGGGUUGAGGGCUUUGAUUCAUGGUAAGUUACUAUAGUGUUUUGGUUGAUCUCUUGUUGGUAUUAGGUUGAUAUGGAUUGGAUCAAAUUCUAUUUGAGCUGUUAAG
Zingiber officinale is the source of this 322-nucleotide long non-coding RNA. RefSeq lists it as uncharacterized. The transcript has 3 exons. The record is from RefSeq and is a predicted model, not a curated record. Lineage: Eukaryota; Viridiplantae; Streptophyta; Magnoliopsida; Zingiberales; Zingiberaceae.